Molecule: transfer RNA, 73 nt
Filed under: Ipomoea nil (Japanese morning glory)
Lineage: Eukaryota; Viridiplantae; Streptophyta; Magnoliopsida; Solanales; Convolvulaceae
Rfam family: tRNA
About the family: Transfer RNA (tRNA) molecules are approximately 80 nucleotides in length. Their secondary structure includes four short double-helical elements and three loops (D, anti-codon, and T loops). Further hydrogen bonds mediate the characteristic L-shaped molecular structure. tRNAs have two regions of fundamental functional importance: the anti-codon, which is responsible for specific mRNA codon recognition, and the 3' end, to which the tRNAs corresponding amino acid is attached (by aminoacyl-tRNA synthetases). tRNAs cope with the degeneracy of the genetic code in two manners: having more than one tRNA (with a specific anti-codon) for a particular amino acid; and 'wobble' base-pairing, i.e. permitting non-standard base-pairing at the 3rd anti-codon position.
Source: Rfam by way of RNAcentral
GGGGAUGUAGCUCAAGUGGUAGAGCGCUUGCUUUACAUGCGAGAGGCACUGGGUUCGAUUCCCCGCAUGUCCA